Molecule: transfer RNA, 72 nt
Filed under: Bos taurus (domestic cattle)
Lineage: Eukaryota; Metazoa; Chordata; Mammalia; Artiodactyla; Bovidae
Also listed under: 1 other name
Rfam family: tRNA
About the family: Transfer RNA (tRNA) molecules are approximately 80 nucleotides in length. Their secondary structure includes four short double-helical elements and three loops (D, anti-codon, and T loops). Further hydrogen bonds mediate the characteristic L-shaped molecular structure. tRNAs have two regions of fundamental functional importance: the anti-codon, which is responsible for specific mRNA codon recognition, and the 3' end, to which the tRNAs corresponding amino acid is attached (by aminoacyl-tRNA synthetases). tRNAs cope with the degeneracy of the genetic code in two manners: having more than one tRNA (with a specific anti-codon) for a particular amino acid; and 'wobble' base-pairing, i.e. permitting non-standard base-pairing at the 3rd anti-codon position.
Source: Rfam by way of RNAcentral
UCCCCGGUGGCUCAGAUGGUAAAGCGUCUGCCUACAAUGCGGGAGACCGGGGUUCAAUCCCUGGGUGGGGAA